Molecule: long non-coding RNA, 3160 nt
Organism: Cephus cinctus (wheat stem sawfly)
Lineage: Eukaryota; Metazoa; Arthropoda; Insecta; Hymenoptera; Cephidae
Exons: 6
Source: RefSeq, a predicted model, not a curated record
CUCACGCAACUCCGGGCUCAUCGAACCGCGUCGAAUUUACCUGAGAUUUACGAACGACAGCGGUCUGAUCAUACCGCAAGGAACAGUCGAUAAAUAGCUUACCGUACGAAUGACUCGGUCGGUAAAGAAGAUACCCAUAAGUCAUAGCUCCGACCGAGACAAAGCGAAGUCACUCGAUAGUCGAAUCUCGGAACUAAGGAAGACGAAGACGUAUCGCCAUUGUCCGGCUCUCGACAGACAGAUAGAUUUCCUCAAGACUGGAUGGCAGCUGGUUGCCUUGUUAGUUGACCGCGGCCAAAUGCUAGGCAUACAUCAAUGCCCAUGCUAGCAUUACCCCAAACCGAUACAUUAACUCAUAACCUGUCUUGGGAUUAUUCUUGUGUCUGAAUCCAUAAACUAUGCCGGAAGACAACGAACGGUUCCUGCUUGACAAUCUUUAUUUUUCUAUCUGCUCUGAUACAGGUAUGUGAACAUGGAUCGUGUAUAACUACUUUUUUAAAUCUUUUUAUUUAUUUUAUACAACGGAAGAUUUAUGGCUUACGUGUCGUACGGAACGUAGCUGGCUUGUAUUUAUUGCAAAUUGAUGGCAUUUUGAAUUUAUAUGGAUUUCGAAUUAAUUUUGGUUAAUGGGUCGUUCACUCUGAAAUUAUGAUACUUUGUAUCUGGAAAUUGUUAAUGUGACGUAUAAAGCGCAUUUGAAUCGGAUAAAUUGAUAUGUGAAUCAGAGGGCACGGCUCUUUGUGGGAAGAGUAUGGGCGUUUGAAAAAUUGUCCUGGACCUCGCAUAAAAAUGUACGAUGACCUUAGAGACUCGAGAAAUCUUUAAAAGCAUUUCAGUGACGUCUCAAGAUAUAUCGCUGGGUAAACAGCGGUUUCAUAGAACUUUUAUAUCGUGACAAAAAUGUCAUCUGUUCCUUGAAUAUUAAAUUUAACAUGCACAUACGUUCUCGAGAAAUCGAGAAUAAAAAGCAAUUUAUACCUCGUUAUCAUUAAAAAGUUAUAUCUCACCGAAGUACAACGAGAAGCCUAGAAAUAAGCCCGAGAAGAAACACGGACGUAAAUCAUUGGAUUUUCGUUUCCUCCAUCACGCCUCAUUAAAGACGCCAAGAGAACGAAUUGACACCUCCUGUCUCCAUGAUGCAACGCUAUAGCAGCCACAGCUGCCAAUUUAUAAUGUCGACAGAGAUAACGUCCCUGAAACACCACGUAUCGCAAGCACCGAGCAUGAUGGAGCAUAAAGAGAAACAAAAGAAAAAAAAUUAUUUCCAAGCGGACAGCAUGAAAAACAUAAAAUCAGCAAGUACCGUGCAAAAGAGGAAAUUGUAACGGUAAUGGUUUACCAGGUUUUCUCUGGUUUUACAAGUACUCGACCAUGUGACUCUGCACCGUGAAAGGAAGACAGACAAGAUCAGUGGUCCAGGGAGAUAUGAAAGCUGCAUUAAGAGAUAAGAGGCUGCGGAUGUAAAAAAGUUUGAUGGCCUGCAGAGAGUAAGAGGGAGGGGAGAGAGAGAGAGAGGGGGGUAGAUAGAGAGAGAGAGAGAGAGAGAGAGAGAGGGAGAGAGAAAGGAGAAGGAGAAGAAAAAAAUAAAACAUGGUGGCCACUUCGAGAGGGCACCGUAAGCUGUACCUACCGACACGGCCAUGGCGGCUGAAACUGGCCAAUUCACCAAUGCCAGUCUUUAUUAUUAAGAGCUCUGACACAGUCUCGGUACGAUGUUAAUUUAAAAAUCUUGUAAUAGUUUGUUACCAGCUGCAUUACUAAUUCAGCUUCCACGGAUAACUAAUGCACCAACAAGUAUCACAGAUGAUCGAGCUGUUAAUCACGACGGUAGCAGAGCCUAAGAUCAGCACUCUAAUUACGCCACGACAUAAAAAUUAAUCGCUCUCACGCGCAUUAUUAAUCUGGCUCGUUCGGACGCUGGCCUGUACAGUGUAAAUAAGUGAAAUUAAUUAAACAUUUAGCAGUUAGUAUCUACAGUUACACACCUCCGGGAUACAUUCCAAGCAACAACCAGUUUGUGUCGGCGCAGCCAUAUAAUAUCUUAAUCUGGCGAUCUUAUCGUGCACAUUAAGUUGGGAAUAUAUGGAAGUGGUUUUAGUGUCACAUAAAUUAAGAUUAGUCAGUCGGCACUUGCCAUUAACAUUUGCCAUUACGGCUAUUAACAUUAAUUAUAGCAGAGCUUCCACGCUAUAAAGCGUCGUUCACCUGUAUCUCACUUCUAGGGCGAUACUUCUUUCAUACGAAAUUACUGUCACGUUUAUACGUCUUUUGAACGUUAUAUGGAGCCGCCAUCUUGAUAAUUAUAAUUAUUAUUUAUAAUUAACACAACCUUCGUAUACAUAUAUAUAUAUAGUCUCGAUAUAUAGCGUACAGAGUAUACCUUUGUUAUAUUCUAAAAGACAAAAUACAAAGGAAUACCGCAAGAAAAUAAAUGCCUUGCGGAAUUGGUCUCGCUGUCGAAAAGCCAAAGGAGACGAGAAGCAAAUUUGUCAGAUCGCUAAAAUCUGCCACGAGAGCCCAAGGAGCGACGGAGUCACGAAUUUUUGCGGGCGAAAGAAAUGUGUCGCGAGGACAAACAUUUUCUGUAGAAAACAAAUAACGGGGCCGUCUGGCGAUAAAUAAUACGAGAAGACAUUUAAAAGGUGUCGUAACGCGUAGCACGGAGGCUAUCAAAACUAGUCGUCGGUAUGGGGACAGCUUCUUGGCGCCAUGCCGAUAGAAAGGCACUCUAAGGUCCUGAUAUAUAGUGCUUUGUUAUUUUUUUAAUGGUAUAUACUGGUAUAUAGCCGUCGAUAACGUUAAGUAUCAAUCGCGAGUCGUAUAUUGAAAUGGGUAAUGAAGGGGCAAGGAUAUUCUUUCGUAUACGUGUAAUAUAUAGAUAUAGAGGUGGCUUGAUGGAAAAGGAGGAAGAUUAACGCGGUCCUUUCGUUUAGACUGUAACUUUUAUAUCACGGUCAGGAGCUACCAGAUAGAAAUUUAUGACCCUACGGGUUUACUGUCAUUAGCAUAUACUCGAAAUAUAUUUUAAUUUUACAAUCGAGGCAUUAUACCGAGAUAUACGGUAAUAUACGAUCUUGGUGCCUGUAAUAAAGUAGCUUCAACACGACAUGCCUUAACCGAUUGCCUAACUUGUGAUGCUCAAUAGUUGGUACCUAACUAU